RNAcentral lists this microRNA (21 nucleotides) under Oryza sativa (Asian cultivated rice). RNAcentral's name for it is "osa-miR5822". The record is from miRBase by way of RNAcentral. Lineage: Eukaryota; Viridiplantae; Streptophyta; Magnoliopsida; Poales; Poaceae.
UGUCUGCUCGAUGUCAGGUUG